UUCCUCCCAGAUUCUUUUCUCUGCUGCAGUCAAUUCCCCCUUUUUCCAUUUGUAGAGACAAAAGGGAACAUUCUAUAACCACUGGCCUCUGUCCAGGAACACAGGAGAAAAUGAAGCAAGGCAAACAACAGAGAAAAGUGAACAACAAAAGAACAAACUCAAACGAAACUGCUUAACAAUCCUACAGUGCAGACCUGGCAGUGCUCUCUUGAGUCCACAGGCUGAGAAUACCAGUUCCAGCAUUCCCAGCUGGCCAAGCCGAUGAGAACUCAUUUCCUUCUUGGAGUGCAGAGCCAUCACUGCAGGUACUAACAUGCCUUCGUGCUCUCUGCCUUCUGGCUAACAAAGCAAGCAGACAAAGAAAAGAGGAGGCAAUGCAGGCAACUGUGGGGCUAGGAGUUUUGAAGAGUGGAGUUUGGGAACUAUUACAGAGAGGUUAAGUGGAGGAGGCUGGCCUAGAACUAAGAAGAUACUUGGCUGGGCCACGGAAUCACCUGGGGACUAUUAAUUUAUUUAUUUGUGAGAUAGGGUUUCGCUGUGUCGCCCAGGCUAGAGCGUAGUGAUACGACCAUAGCUCACUGCAGCCUGUAACUCCUGGGUUCAAAUGAUCCUCCCACUUCAGCUUCCCAAGUAGCUAGGACUAUACAGUCCUGGGGCAUUUUAAAUAAUGACAGUUUCCUAGGUCCUACCCAAGACCAGAUUCUCCAUCUUAAAAUGCUCUUUAGGAGAUUCUAUGAUGAAAAAAAAAAUGCAGAAAUCAAGUUCUGCUUAGACACCAUUACUCUGAGUGACCUCCAACUUUUUGCAGCUUACCAAGGGGGUCUCAGGCUGGAGAUAACUUCUCCCCAAGUGUUCCCCUGGGAGGACUUAGCUGACAAUAUUGAAAAGGAGAGAUUUUUUUUUAAGAACAUACAGAGGUGUCUAAAAUAGUUGAACUCAUGGAAGCAAAGAAUAGAAUUGUGGUUGCCAGGCACUAGGGGGAGAGAGGAAAAGAGUUGGUAUUUAACAAGAAUAAAAUUUCAGUUAUGCAAGAUGAAUAAGUUCUAAAGAUAUGCUCUACAACACUGUGCCUAGAGAUAACAAUACUAUAUUGUACACUUAAAUAUCUGUUAAGAAUGUAGAUCUCAUGUAAAGCGUUCUUACCACAAUAAAAUGUUUUAAAAAUGAAUGGAAGAAUAAAAAAGAACAUAGAGCAUGGAAAAGAAGAGCUGGAAAAUUCUCAGUGGUGUGUCUCAUGGUUGCAGCCAUGUGUCUGUAAAUAUAUCUUGGAAAGAAUUCAUCCUCAGAAAUAAUUACACAGAAUGACUAAUAUAGAAGAUAAAUGUUUCAUUAUAACUGUUUAAUAGAGCCUCAAAAUUCCUCCUUUUGGUACUUUGGCUCCUAGGAAGAAAAAGUGGAUGAGGAAGACCCUUUGGACAUCGUCAAAAGAGGCAUUGUUAGCAAAUGACGGGGGGCCAGUCCUGAAAGCCUGUGAGGCUGUGAGCAACUCUCCCACCUGCUCUUCUCUGUCUGUCCUACUCCUCAUGACAAUGACUCUUAUCCUGGAGGGCCUGCAGUAGCGUUUGACACACGUACCUCAUUUAAUUCUCACAAGAGUUCUAUGAAACAGGCUAGGAUUUGGCAAACCAUUGUCAGCUACCUGUUUUUGUAAAUAUAGUUUUAUUGGAACAUAACCACCACAAUUUAUUUACAUAUUGUCUAUAGCUGCUUUUACUCUACAAUGGCAGAGUUGAGUAGUUGUGACAAAAGCUCUAGGCCCUGAAAAGUGCAAAAUAUUUAUUUUACUAUGUGGCCCUUUACAGCAAAGGUGUGUUGACCCCUCAGAUAAAUGGGACAUUGCUCCCACUUUACAUAUGAGGCACAGAAAAGCUAAGCGCAUUGACUGAGAUCAUUUGGGUUAUAAAUUAUAGUGUCAGAGAUGUCUCGGACCCAGAGACAACUGUUCCCUAUGCUUUUCUCCUCCCUACCUUAUAGCAUCUCCUACUCUUUCACAUUCAUUUGUUCCUACUAAAUGUGUCAGCCAAAAAGAACACAUUCAUUUGCACUGAACAAGACGUCUCAGGUUGACCAUCACACAGAAGUCAACAGGAGGUUCUGGAGACUUGCAGAAAGUGAUCAUCCAGCAUAUCCUCUCCUCUCCUCUCCUAGCCCCUAAGGACUGAUUCGUAGUCUGCCCAGAGUUUAUAAGAGAGACAGUCAUCCAACAUGAAUAGAGAUGGCCUGAGCAGGCAUGGGCUCUUUGAAAUUCGGAGAGAUCAGCUCAAAGAUACACUGGGAAGAACCAGGUUGCCCCAAGCAAAAGGCAACAACUGCCCUUGGUUGAGCAAGAUUCCUUGGGAAGCUUAUUGGAGGCCCCACCUCUAAGGACAGGCCCACAUUUGCCUUGUCUGCCAUUCUUCCCUUACUGAUGUAUUCUGACCCUGUCUUGGCUUGAUUUAUCUUUGAUGUCUUUGAUGUUGCUCAUGACCAUGCUGCCUUCUUCCUGGGAGUUCCCAUCUGGUCCUGGUUUCUGCUUCUCUUGCCUUAGCUCAUACUCAAACCCUGUGGGUAACAGCCCACGUGCAACAGUGGUCUGCAGCUCCUGAGGGCUGUUGAAAAGAUUGCUUCAUUCAAUGCCAUAAAAAUAUCCAAGAAUACAGCAAUUGUUAUAGAAAUUAUGGUAAAUCUGCACAAUGAAAUAUUAUGCAGCCACUAAAACGGACAUCAAUUCAGAUUUCUAAAUGACACAAUGUAGCAGAGACAGGGCCAGGUUCAUGGGUGUGGGUCCUACACAGUCAUACAGGGCUCCACACUUACAAGGGCCCUACACUUGGUUUAAUGCUCCAUGGCUGCCACCUUGAAAUUCUGAAUAGUUUUAUAACAAGAGUCCUCCACAUUUACAUUUCACAUUGAGCCUAUAAAUUGUUAGCUAGUCCUGAGCAGAGAUGACUCUGAGUGCCCAUUUUCUCCUGUCUUUUAGUAAUAGAACCUCCUCCCUUUGCUUCAUACAUACACCCUGACUAGUGUUUCCACGCUGGAAUUCCUUCCCAGUAUUUCUUGAGAAUUUUUUAUGUUUCUCCAAAUCUCGAAAGAAAAAUCAGUCAAGAAAUUGGGAAAAAGUAUUGUAAUUAUCCUGCAGGAAUCAAGGCUUAAUGAUCAACAUAAAGACAUCACUGGUUUGAAUCCAUCAAUGUCAAAUGAAAAGCAAGAGCAGGAAAGGCUGGCAGGUGGAAGAGCAUAUAGCACAUAGGAGAGCACAUAGGUCAAGAGCUGAUCAGUCAAUCUUGCUUGUAGCCAUUGUCCUGUUCUAAGUGUGUGUUCUUGGCCCUGACUGAUGCUAAUGGCAAGUCAUUCUUGGAAAUAAAAUAAGCAGUAUUAGGUUUAUAUGUAUGUAUACUUUAUUCAAAUCCUGCUAGUGAUGUUCUAGGAAAUAACAAAUUUGGGAAGCAAAAUACGCCCUUAAUUGGCAAUUUCAAUGUGUGAUUCUGUGUAGUGCUUUAACCUUGCUAGGAGAUCUGAAUGUCACAUUCUUUGAAUAUUACCCAAAAAUGUUCACUGGUAUUUUCUAAUGUUUGAUUUUUUUUUUAUCUCAGGCUAUAGUUGUUUAUAAAUUUGCUAAAUGUAAUAUUUCUUAUUUAUUAAACCAAUUUCUUUUAGAUAUCCACAGUAAUGACUAAAGAGUAUAAAAAUUGCUGGAAGUCUUUUAUUUUCUUCUUGUUACUUAGUUUUCAUUUUGUAAUUAUAAACUUAACUCUGCGAUCCAGCUAGACAUGGAAGAGGAUAAGGAAAAUAUGGAACCCAAAGGACUGUGCAAAGAUUAUAGGAUGCUGUGAGCAAAUGGGGUGGAAGCAUGCUUUCCUGAGCUAUAGAAGGAACGAUCUGGUGGUUCAGAUAAAACAAUCAAAUUUAUUAGAGUUGUCCACAGUCAGCAGCUGUGAUCUUCUUGCUGGUCUUACCAUUCCUGGACCCAGAGCGUUCCAGGGCUUCCACAAUACUCAUGCCAUCUUUCACCUUGCCAAAGACCACAUGCUGUCAUCCAUCCUCUGUCUUGGCAGUACAGAAGAAAAACUGGGAACCAUUUGUGGUGGGUCCAGCAUUUGCCGUGGACAAGACGCCAGGAGCUGUAUGCUUAGGAUGAAGUUCUCAUCAUCAAAUUCCUUGCUGUAGAGGGACUUGCCACCAGUGCCAUUAUGGUGUGUGAAGUCACCACCCUGACACACACCCCGGAAUAAUUCUGUAAAAGCAGGGACAUUUAUCACCAAAUACUUUCUCUCCAGUGUUCAGAGCACAAAAAUUUUCUUCCAUCUUUAGAACUUUGUCUGCAAAUAGCUUGAAGGAGAUGCAGCCCAAGGACUCACUAUCAAUUGCAAUGUUGAAGAACACAGUGGGGUUGGCCAUGGCUGGUGGCAGGGAGUUCUGGGCAGCAGCGAUGUCUGCAAAUGGAAGUCUUUUCAGAAUAACACGAGUUUAUCUUUAUAACAAACCUAUACAUGUAUCCCUGAACCUAAAAUAAAAGUUUUUUUUUUAAAAGGAUAACUUAUUAUUUCAGAAAUUUCUAAGAAUUCCCAGGAAUUCCAACUUCUCAUUUGUAUAUCCUGAUGAAUAUCCACUGGGUAUUUGGAAAUGCCAAUUUCUGACAUAUGAUUGCUUAGCUAGAGACUGCAUUUCCAGCCUCCUUUGCAGGUAACUAUAGCCAGGUUCUAAGUUUUGGCCAAUGAGAUGUUAGCAGAAGUGAAAUGUGUGCCUUCUGGAUUUUAUUUUUAUGAGAAAUUUGCCUGUCUUCUAUUCUUUUUCCCUCUUCUCUCUGGCUCGGAAAUGAUGAAAAGUACAGGACUCACUGGGACCAAAAUUCAGAAAUUACAUGUUAAGGAAGAGAGGGCUGCUCCUCUAGCCUGUUCUCCUUAUGACCUUGUGGAACGGAAUUGCCUACCUGCCCUGGACUAUCCUAAGAUUGUCGUAUGGAGAGAAAUACAUUCUAUUUUAUUUAA
This 4967-nucleotide long non-coding RNA is filed under the name Homo sapiens (human). RNAcentral describes it as "HSALNT0360046". The record is from RNAcentral. Lineage: Eukaryota; Metazoa; Chordata; Mammalia; Primates; Hominidae.